AGUCGUGUGGUUAGCACAUAGCGAAUUAUUCUUUUGCCUUUUACUAAAGAAUAGCGUGUGCUUGCCACUUUAAGCAACAUACGCUAAUUUUGAGAAGGGUAUGCUUAACUGAAUACCC
RNAcentral lists this small nuclear RNA (118 nucleotides) under Theobroma cacao (cacao). Its description in RNAcentral is "snRNA U5". It matches the Rfam family "U5 spliceosomal RNA". From Rfam's summary of the family: U5 RNA is a component of both types of known spliceosome. The precise function of this molecule is unknown, though it is known that the 5' loop is required for splice site selection and p220 binding, and that both the 3' stem-loop and the Sm site are important for Sm protein binding and cap methylation. Lineage: Eukaryota; Viridiplantae; Streptophyta; Magnoliopsida; Malvales; Malvaceae. The record is from RNAcentral.